Gracilinanus agilis (Agile Gracile Mouse Opossum) is the source of this 103-nucleotide small nuclear RNA. Lineage: Eukaryota; Metazoa; Chordata; Mammalia; Didelphimorphia; Didelphidae. The record is from RefSeq and is a predicted model, not a curated record.
AUGCUUUGGCAACAUGUAUGCUAAAAUUGGGAUGAUACAGAGAAGAUUAGCACGGCCCCUGCUCAAGGAUGACAUGCAAAUUUGUGAAGUGUGCCAUAUUUUU